This 321-nucleotide ribosomal RNA is filed under the name Triticum aestivum (bread wheat). Its description in RNAcentral is "partial small subunit ribosomal RNA". The record is from RNAcentral. Lineage: Eukaryota; Viridiplantae; Streptophyta; Magnoliopsida; Poales; Poaceae.
AUGGACGGGUCGGAGCUCUCCCGCUGCAUCGCCGGUGAGGCUUGUGUACAGGGAACCGCCGGUGAGGCUUGUGUGAAGGGCGCCGCCGGCCUCAGCUCUCGUCUUGGAUCGAUCCCCUCCUCCUUCCCUCGUGCGCCACACCAGGAGAGGAGCGCCGCGCCCCAGCUCCUCGUCAUCGAGCCGCCUCCUGCCCCGAGCCGAGAGCUCGCACCGCAGACCCGGUGCGUCCCAACCGAUCCUUCGGCCGCAGACUCCGCGAGGAAGGCGGCGGCGGCGGUAUCCCCGCUCGUGCGUGGGGAAGAGGAAGGGGAUCUGCCCUGA